GAGACACCCUUAAUGGUGCAGGACUUGCUUCAGUGGGGCUUUGGUGUUCACUGAGUCUGCCCCUUGAAUGUGUCACU
This 77-nucleotide microRNA precursor is filed under the name Myotis davidii. RNAcentral describes it as "mir-9229 microRNA precursor family". It matches the Rfam family "mir-9229 microRNA precursor family". The record is from Rfam by way of RNAcentral. Lineage: Eukaryota; Metazoa; Chordata; Mammalia; Chiroptera; Vespertilionidae.